This 1075-nucleotide long non-coding RNA is filed under the name Capsicum annuum. RNAcentral describes it as "long non-coding RNA (CANN_LNC009496)". Lineage: Eukaryota; Viridiplantae; Streptophyta; Magnoliopsida; Solanales; Solanaceae. The record is from RNAcentral.
CUCUCUUUUGGUGCUCAUGUUUGCGGGAAAGGCUUGCUUUUUUGACGAGGCUCUGAAUUACCACACCUCUACUCAGUAUGGAAGACCAACGAUUAAAAAAUAGGGAGCUGUAUAACAAAUGCUAUGUAGGUUUAGCUGGUUUUUUGGCCGUCUUAGUGCUCUUGAUUUAGUUCCAACGAAAUAUGUCUUCCCCAGGUAAAUUUUGUUGCAUCACUUUGGUAUAUGCAUAUUCAUUUAUUAUGCUAACUUUGCUUCAAAAAACUCGGUCGUACUAAAUCUAUUUUUGGAAACAUGGCCGUCAUCUAGGCAUGUUCAUAACAUGCCUCAUGAUCCAAUGAAAAUAUCACUCAUGAUGAAAAUAACUGUUCAAACUUACUAAUCUUGUAAUCUUAGCAUCAUAUGUUAAUGUAGAGUUUCCAAUGAAUUGUUUAAUAGCUUUGUACUAGGCAUAUAAAUAAAGGAUAGGCUUGCGAACUGGUGGCUCAACUUGGUUUUGGCUUAACCAAAAUCCUCCUUACAAACUGAAACCAGCUCAAGUAUCAAAUACAGACUUCAUCUCAAUUAGAAGGGUAUUUACUUUUAAGUCAAUGAAAGGUUAACUAAAAGAAAUCAAUCAAGAAAGCUGGAACUGGCUGAUAACUGAAAAUCAUUAAACUCUUGGACCUAAACAACAUCCCAUGAAACAGAGGAAACAAGAUUUGGUUAGACAUCAAGUAGGAUAUCUAUUUUAUCUCUGUCCUACGCACUAUGAUAAUCCAAAUGCACACAUGGGUAUGGACUAACAAUGGGAGAACGGGACUUACAACUUUGACACUAGGAAAAUUUUUUCCUACCUGCCCGCGUAUUGCUCGGUAGAAUUAAAAAGUGGUAGUAUCAAUGGGACUAGCAUAAUUAUAUCUUGGAAUGACCAGGAAAAGCGGAGGACAUUGUGGAUAAUCUUUGAUUGCUUAGCAAACCGUUGAUCACUCCAGGUCCAAAAGUCUAACAAGUGGACGCUUGGGAGUUGCAUGAUCUUCAGGAAUUGACUAGAAGGUCUUUGGAGAACCACAUUUAUGAUCAUGAAACUACAAAGGUU